UACAGAGGUCUCAACCGUUGUUCGGAUUCAUUGGGCGUAAAGGGUGCGUAGGCGGUCGUGUAAGUCGGAUGUGAAAUCUCAGGGCUCAACCCUGAAACUGCAUUCGAUACUGCGUGGCUAGAGUGCUGGAGAGGAGACUGGAAUUUACGGUGUAGCAGUGAAAUGCGUAGAUAUCGAAAGGAAGACCAGUGGCGAAGGCGAGUCUCUGGACAGCAACUGACGCUGAGGCACGAAGGCCAGGGGAGCAAACGGG
RNAcentral lists this ribosomal RNA (253 nucleotides) under uncultured bacterium. RNAcentral's name for it is "partial 16S ribosomal RNA". It matches the Rfam family "Bacterial small subunit ribosomal RNA", at positions 524 to 776 of the family's 1533-position model. The record is from RNAcentral.